This is a non-coding RNA of Chiloscyllium plagiosum (whitespotted bambooshark), 953 nucleotides long. The record is from RefSeq and is a predicted model, not a curated record. NCBI's taxonomy places the organism in Eukaryota, Metazoa, Chordata, Chondrichthyes, Orectolobiformes, Hemiscylliidae.
UAGGGCAUUAAGUAUAGUUCGGGAUAUUUGUCGAAGAAACUGGAAUAAUUUGCUGGAUGCAAAAUUGCGUUAAAUUUCGGGGCGGGAGAAUGCAAAGAAACACCGGGCUUGUCGUACGUGCAUGCUCCGGUGCUGUGGGAGAGGAUAUGCUGUUGCAACAAUAUUAAACCCAAGUGCUUGUGAUUUAGGAGUGAAGCGCUGCUGCCCUCUCCCCGGCGGUGUCACGUGUCCUUUCCGGAACCCUAGAGGCGGAAAUCUCCGAAAGUAGCCGAUCGUCCGGCUGUGCGGACUGAGGACGAAGGACAGAAGAAGGGAGGAAGGAAAAAAAACACUUAACACCUUGAGGAGGAGCCCAGUCCUUCCCGGGAACAUUUACUCAGCUCCGGAUUAAUUCCUCAUGACUUCUAAUGGAAAAUCUGCUGGCUUGUAGAAACAAUUUAACGAGGGGUUGCUGCUUUAUAGGGAACACGUAUUGCCCAACUUUGCAGCUGAUCCAUUAGUGAAUUAUCAGAUGUAAGUAUUUUUGACAAAGAUGAUCACUUAAAUGUAGUUUUUGUAUGUAUUAAAUUUGAUGCAUGCUAACGACUUUAACCCUGUGAAAACACCCACUGCUUUAUCUGGAAUACUGGUUUAGCCUGUAAGUGCGACUGGUAGAAUUUUCUAACUGUGAUCAUCAUUGUGUUACAUUAUGUCCAUCACACAUUCACUUCACUUCAGUGUUAGAGACAUGUGACGAAGGAGAUUGAUCUUAAAUAUUCCCCACAUCAUUAAGAUGAAGUAAUAAAAUAAUUUAUGAACACUACUUUCUACCUCCUGGCUAUACUCACUGAAUUGCCAAUUAGAUGCAACAGCAUGAAGACAGUCCAGCUAUUGCAAGUGGAUUUUAAUGGGGUUUAGAGGUCUUGUUGAAAUGGUAUCAAGCCUUGAUGAAAUCACGUUGCGUGUUGUGCACA